UACGAAGGGGGCUAGCGUUGCUCGGAAUCACUGGGCGUAAAGCGCACGUAGGCGGCUUUCUAAGUCAGGGGUGAAAUCCUGGAGCUCAACUCCAGAACUGCCUUUGAUACUGGAGAGCUUGAGUCCGGGAGAGGUGAGUGGAACUCCGAGUGUAGGGGUGAAAUUCGUAGAUAUUCGGAAGAACACCAGUGGCGAAGGCGGCUCACUGGCCCGGUACUGACGCUGAGGUGCGAAAGCGUGGGGAGCAAACAGG
This 253-nucleotide ribosomal RNA is filed under the name uncultured bacterium. RNAcentral describes it as "partial 16S ribosomal RNA". It matches the Rfam family "Bacterial small subunit ribosomal RNA", at positions 524 to 776 of the family's 1533-position model. The record is from RNAcentral.